AUUGAACGCUGGCGGCAGGCCUAACACAUGCAAGUCGAGCGGAGCGGCGGAGGGGUGGGUAAGGCCGAGGUAUCUGCCUGGUAGUGGGGGAUAACGGCAGGAAACGGGCGCUAAUACCGCAUACUAUCAGAUGAGCCUAGGUGGGAUUAGCUAGUUGGUGGGGUAAAGGCCUACCAAGGCGACGAUCCGUAACUGGUCUGAGAGGAUGAUCAGUCACACUGGAACUGAGACACGGUCCAGACUCCUACGGGAGGCAGCAGUGGGGAAUAUUGGACAAUGGGCGAAAGCCUGAUCCAGCCAUGCCGCGUGUGUGAAGAAGGUCUUCGGAUUGUAAAGCACUUUCAGUUGGGAGGCGUUACCCACAGAAUAAGCACCGGCUAACUUCGUGCCAGCCGCCGCGGUAAUUC
This 407-nucleotide ribosomal RNA is filed under the name uncultured bacterium. RNAcentral's name for it is "partial 16S ribosomal RNA". It matches the Rfam family "Bacterial small subunit ribosomal RNA", at positions 30 to 526 of the family's 1533-position model. The record is from RNAcentral.